This 253-nucleotide ribosomal RNA is filed under the name uncultured bacterium. RNAcentral's name for it is "partial 16S ribosomal RNA". It matches the Rfam family "Bacterial small subunit ribosomal RNA", at positions 524 to 775 of the family's 1533-position model. The record is from RNAcentral.
UACGGAGGGUGCGAGCGUUGUCCGGAAUCACUGGGCGUAAAGGGUGCGUAGGUGGCGCCGUAAGUCAGGUGUGAAAUUUCGGAGCUUAACUCCGAAACUGCAUUUGAUACUGCGGUGCUUGAGGACUGGAGAGGAGAGUGGAAUUCCCGGUGUAGCGGUGAAAUGCGCAGAUAUCGGGAAGAACACCCGUGGCGAAGGCGGCUCUCUGGGACGGUACUGGACGCUGAGGCACGAAAGCGUGGGGAGCAACAGG